UGGGGAAUAUUGCACAAUGGGCGCAAGCCUGAUGCAGCCAUGCCGCGUGUAUGAAGAAGGCCUUCGGGUUGUAAAGUACUUUCAGCGGGGAGGAAGGCGAUAAGGUUAAUAACCUUGUCGAUUGACGUUACCCGCAGAAGAAGCACCGGCUAACUCCGUGCCAGCAGCCGCGGUAAUACGGAGGGUGCAAGCGUUAAUCGGAAUUACUGGGCGUAAAGCGCACGCAGGCGGUCUGUCAAGUCGGAUGUGAAAUCCCCGGGCUCAACCUGGGAACUGCAUUCGAAACUGGCAGGCUAGAGUCUUGUAGAGGGGGGUAGAAUUCCAGGUGUAGCGGUGAAAUGCGUAGAGAUCUGGAGCAAUACCGGUGGCGAAGGCGGCCCCCUGGACAAAGACUGACGCUCAGGUGCGAAAGCGUGGGGAGCAAACA
Molecule: ribosomal RNA, 427 nt
Filed under: uncultured bacterium
Lineage: Bacteria
Description: partial 16S ribosomal RNA
Rfam family: Bacterial small subunit ribosomal RNA
Source: RNAcentral